GGGCCUUUAGCUCAGUUGGUUAGAGCAGUCGACUCAUAAUCGAUUGGUCGCUGGUUCAAGUCCAGCAAGGCCCACCA
Molecule: transfer RNA, 77 nt
Filed under: Marinobacter sp.
Lineage: Bacteria; Pseudomonadati; Pseudomonadota; Gammaproteobacteria; Pseudomonadales; Marinobacteraceae
Also listed under: 12 other names
Description: tRNA-Ile
Rfam family: tRNA
About the family: Transfer RNA (tRNA) molecules are approximately 80 nucleotides in length.
Source: RNAcentral